AGUUGCUGCUGAUAGAAAUGUGUGGCAAUUACUCAGCUCACUGACAUUAGUUUAUAUAAUUGUGAUAAACUUGACUUACUGUUCACUCCAAUAAUUUGGUUUUUCUCUAUUUUCUAGUGACGCCGCCGGAUAAUAAUGACAGCCUGUGUGCUUUGCAGCCUUUUCCAGGGAUCCUUCAGAGGACUAACAAUGGUGCUGUGUUAAGAAAUCCUACCCAACAAAAUUCCACUGAGGCAGAUGUAGAGAUGACUGCGAGAAACUGGCUGCGGCUGAGGCGGGACAGGAAAGCAAGAGGGCGAGCAUCUUAAAGUGAAAUAAUUGAUUGGACUGAUUUUUCCUGUUUACCUAUUUUGGAGGGAAUUUCUUUUUGUUGUUGUUGUACUUUUCUAUGUGUGAUUUGAUGAGUGUUAAAAUAAAUGAUACUGCUUUUGCAAAAACAAAAGUAAAAAAUAAAUGUUCAAGGUCA
Molecule: non-coding RNA, 466 nt
Organism: Pimephales promelas (fathead minnow)
Lineage: Eukaryota; Metazoa; Chordata; Actinopteri; Cypriniformes; Leuciscidae
Source: RefSeq, a predicted model, not a curated record